AGUGAACGCUGGCGGUAGGCCUAACACAUGCAAGUCGAACGGCAGCACAGUAAGAGCUUGCUCUUACGGGUGGCGAGUGGCGGACGGGUGAGGAAUACAUCGGAAUCUACUUUUUCGUGGGGGAUAACGUAGGGAAACUUACGCUAAUACCGCAUACGACCUACGGGUGAAAGCAGGGGAUCUUCGGACCUUGCGCGAUUGAAUGAGCCGAUGUCGGAUUAGCUAGUUGGCGGGGUAAAGGCCCACCAAGGCGACGAUCCGUAGCUGGUCUGAGAGGAUGAUCAGGCACACUGGAACGUGGACACGGUCCAGACUCCUACGGGAGGCAGCAGUGGGGAAUAUUGGACAAAGGGCGCAAGCCUGAUCCAGCCAUACCGCGUGGGUGAAGAAGGCCUUCGGGUUGUAAAGCCCUUUUGUUGGGAAAGAAAAGCAGCAGGUUAAUACCCCGCUGUUCUGACGGUACCCAAAGAAUAAGCACCGGCUAACUUCGUG
This 492-nucleotide ribosomal RNA is filed under the name uncultured bacterium. Its description in RNAcentral is "partial 16S ribosomal RNA". It matches the Rfam family "Bacterial small subunit ribosomal RNA", at positions 29 to 507 of the family's 1533-position model. The record is from RNAcentral.